This 575-nucleotide ribosomal RNA is filed under the name uncultured bacterium. Its description in RNAcentral is "bacterial SSU rRNA". It matches the Rfam family "Bacterial small subunit ribosomal RNA", at positions 36 to 643 of the family's 1533-position model. The record is from RNAcentral.
CUGGCGGCGUGCCUAACACAUGCAAGUCGAACGAGAAAGUGGAGCAAUCCAUGAGUACAGUGGCGUACGGGUGAGUAACACGUGACUAACCUACCCUCGAGUGGGGAAUAACUUCGGGAAACCGAGGCUAAUACCGCAUAACAUCUACGGAUCAAAUGCGCAAGCAGCUUGAGGAGGGGGUCGCGGCUGAUUAGCUAGUUGGCGGGGUAACGGCCCACCAAGGCAAUGAUCAGUAGCCGGCCUGAGAGGGCGCACGGCCACACUGGAACUGAAACACGGUCCAGACUCCUACGGGAGGCAGCAGUGGGGAAUUUUGCGCAAUGGGGGAAACCCUGACGCAGCAACGCCGCGUGGAGGAUGGAGCCCCUUGGGGUGUAAACUCCUUUCGAUCGGGACGAUUAUGACGGUACCGGAUGAAGAAGCACCGGCUAACUCUGUGCCAGCAGCCGCGGUAAUACAGAGGGUGCAAGCGUUGUUCGGAAUUAUUGGGCGUAAAGGGUGCGUANGCGGUGCGGUAAGUCUUCUGUGAAACCUCCGGGCUUAACUCGGAGCCUGCAGGGGAAACUGCCGUGCUG